Non-coding RNA from Coffea arabica (coffee), 1070 nucleotides. The record is from RefSeq and is a predicted model, not a curated record. Lineage: Eukaryota; Viridiplantae; Streptophyta; Magnoliopsida; Gentianales; Rubiaceae.
UUACUCCUCACAUCCUGCGACUUCUGUACUCCUCACUCUCAAUCCCUCAGUCAAACCCUUUAUUCAUUUCCCAAAACCCGAGCAGCAGCAGAGGCGGCAGCCGGCAACUGUUGCUGUCAUCAAAGAUGCAGAUCUUCGUGAAAAUCCUGACGGGGAAGACCAUGACCCUUCAGGUGGAGUCUUGCAACACUAUCGACAAUUUCAAGGCCAAAAUCCAGGACAAGGAGGGCAGCCUCUCGGACCAGCAACGCCUCAUCUUCGUCGGCAAGUAGUUGGAGGAUGGCCGUACCCUAGCUGAUUACAACAUCUGGAAGGAGCCAAAAAGAGUCCACAAUCCACCUCGUCCUCCGCCUCCAUGGUGCUCUCCACUAACUCUCAGCAGUUACUUGCAAUGAUGAACUAAAGGAUGGUGUCAUAGUAGAUGAAAGUUGGUUUUCAGAUCCGUUAUACUGUGAGGAGCACAAGUUAUGGUAUCAAUUAUCAAAAAUUUUGGCAGAGAAUGCUGCUUGGGAUUUCUCAAAGGAGCAUGGUAUUGACAUGAUUGCAAUUAAUCCAAGAAUGGUCAUUGGUCCAUUCUUGCAGCCUUCUGCCACUUUGAAUGCAAAAGUGAUCUUGAGCCUAGUAAAUGGUAUGUUGCUCAUUUUAGAUUUUUGGAAGAUCAUCAGCAAGAAUUGCUAAUUGGCUCAAGAACUAUAGAGAAAAUCUUAUACUUAGGAAAUGUUUCGACAACACAUUUUUUUGGGGACUUGGAUUUAUUUUGUAAAACUGCCUUGAUUAUUUGUGAAAUUUAGGCCAAAUAUCACUUAUCAAACUAUUUGUAGGGUGUUGUUGAACUUGAUUAUGAUUUUUGAAUGUUUAAAAUGAUAUUUUGGCAUUUUGUAAUGAAAUGGAUGCCUUCAUUUGUUAAUUGUAAAGCAUUGUCAUUUUUCAUUUUUUAGAUAUAAUUAUAGCAGGAAAAUCUUCAAAUUUCAUGGUGGUAAAGUGUUGUCACUGAAUUAGAUUUCACCAUUGACAACCACCUAUUGUUAUACAAUUGAAAAGUGUUUAGUGACAACAAAAGUUGUCAGUAA